Molecule: ribosomal RNA, 407 nt
Filed under: uncultured bacterium
Lineage: Bacteria
Description: partial 16S ribosomal RNA
Rfam family: Bacterial small subunit ribosomal RNA
Source: RNAcentral
AUUGAACGCUGGCGGCAGGCCUAACACAUGCAAGUCGAGCGGAGCGGCGGACGGGUGAGUAAUGCCUAGGAAUCUGCCUGGUAGUGGGGGAUAACGUCCGGAAACGGGCGCUAAUAACGCAUCCUAUCCGCUGAGCCUAGGUCGGAUUAGCUAGUGGGUGGGGUAAAGGCCUACCAAGGCGACGAUCCGUAACUGGUCUGAGAGGAGGAUCAGUCACACUGGAACUGAGACACGGUCCAGACUCCUACGGGAGGCAGCAGUGGGGAAUAUUGCACAAUGGGCGCAAGCCUGAUGCAGCCAUGCCGCGUGUAUGAAGAAGGCCUUCGGGUUGUAAAGUACUUUCAGCGGGGAGGCGUUACCCGCAGAAGAAGCACCGGCUAACUCCGUGCCAGCAGCCGCGGUAAUUC